AGUGGAGACUGUAAAGAGAUAUGUACGGACAGAAAAUAAUUAUCCUAUUGGUAUCAAUAAAGUAACUUCGUGAAUAGAAAAUGAAUAUUUAUGGAAAUUUACAUGGGUUUAUUUAUUCUUGGUGUAAAAUAUUCCUAGGUACAGAACUUCUCCUAUAAGUGGAACUUGGAUGUGUGUUUGUCGGCUUAAUGUUUUUAUUAUUUUAAGUAUUUUAUUAUUCGUUUGACAAAAAAAGUAUUUUAUUAAUAAUAGUAUUACUU
This 260-nucleotide long non-coding RNA is filed under the name Brassica napus (rape). RNAcentral's name for it is "long non-coding RNA (BNAP_LNC007174)". Lineage: Eukaryota; Viridiplantae; Streptophyta; Magnoliopsida; Brassicales; Brassicaceae. The record is from RNAcentral.